This 523-nucleotide ribosomal RNA is filed under the name uncultured Paracoccaceae bacterium. RNAcentral's name for it is "bacterial SSU rRNA". It matches the Rfam family "Bacterial small subunit ribosomal RNA", at positions 355 to 896 of the family's 1533-position model. Lineage: Bacteria; Pseudomonadati; Pseudomonadota; Alphaproteobacteria; Rhodobacterales; Paracoccaceae. The record is from RNAcentral.
UAGGGAAUCUUAGACAACGGGGGCAACCCUGAUCUAGCCAUGCCGCGUGUGUGAUGAAGGCCCUAGGGUCGUAAAGCACUUUCGCCAGAGAUGAUAAUGACAGUAUCUGGUAAAGAAACCCCGGCUAACUCCGUGCCAGCAGCCGCGGUAAUACGGAGGGGGUUAGCGUUGUUCGGAAUUACUGGGCGUAAAGCGCACGUAGGCGGAUUAGUAAGUUAGAGGUGAAGUCCCAGGGCUCAACCCUGGAACUGCCUUUAAUACUGCUAGUCUUGAGUUCGAGAGAGGUAAGUGGAAUUCCGAGUGUAGAGGUGAAAUUCGUAGAUAUUCGGAGGAACACCAGUGGCGAAGGCGGCUUACUGGCUCAAUACUGACGCUGAGGUGCGAAAGUGUGGGGAGCAAACAGGAUUAGAUACCCUGGUAGUCCACACCGUAAACGAUGAAUGCCAGACGUCAGCAAGUAUACUUGUUGGUGUCACACCUAACGGAUUAAGCAUUCCGCCUGGGGAGUACGGUCGCAAGAUUA